AAAAAGGGCAUAAUUUGGUGGUCUUUUUUAAAAGCAGAAAAAAUCUUACUUUUUAUUUCAGUGGAUUUGUUUGCUUUUAGGACAAUUUUUGUUUCUCAUUCAUUUUCUUUCAGUAAUUCAUUAUUUGCAUGACAGGUUUUACAAGCAAAACAGUUGACUGCAAAAUAUUAAAGACCUCUGACAGCUUCUUAUUAAAGCAGUGUCACAUCCUGAAGUCCUUGGUAAAGCUUCAUGUCAAAUGGUACAGCUGUGCUAUCAGAGUUAAACACUGGAGAGAAUCCAAGAAGAACUGGACAAAAAGAAUUAAUGAAUGAGAAGCAAGAAAAGCCUGGGCCACACAUUUUAAGCCUUAAUGUCACAGAACACACCAUGGGAAAAUAUUGUUUAUAAUCCAUAAAUAAACACUUUAGUUA
Molecule: long non-coding RNA, 413 nt
Filed under: Anas platyrhynchos platyrhynchos (common mallard)
Lineage: Eukaryota; Metazoa; Chordata; Aves; Anseriformes; Anatidae
Description: lncRNA (ENSAPLG00000021196.1)
Source: RNAcentral